This is a long non-coding RNA of Carassius auratus (goldfish), 304 nucleotides long. RefSeq lists it as uncharacterized. The transcript has 3 exons. Lineage: Eukaryota; Metazoa; Chordata; Actinopteri; Cypriniformes; Cyprinidae. The record is from RefSeq and is a predicted model, not a curated record.
UUUAGCUCUAACCCUGAUGCAGACAUUGAUUCGCAUGCUCAGGUGUGUUUGAUUAGGGUAAGAGCUAAACUCUGCAGAUAAAAGCCUUCACUGCACAUGCAUCUGGAGGUCAGAGCGAACAUGGCGACCCGCUGGGGAAUCUGUGGAGCUGGAAACAUCAGCCAUGACUUCUGUGUGGCUCUGAAGACACUUUCUCACGAGGAUCACCAGAUCGUGGCAGUUGCAGCGAGAAGCUUAGACCGUGCAAAGAAGUUUGCAAAGACUCAUGGGAUCCCGACUGCAUUUGGCAGCUACCAGGAGCUGG